CGAUGUCCGUGGCCGGAGGCGUGCGGCCGCUCGGCCUGCAACGCCGUGGCCGACGGCCCCGAGACCGGCGGACCUUGG
This 78-nucleotide transfer RNA is filed under the name Streptomyces eurythermus. RNAcentral's name for it is "tRNA-Cys". The record is from RNAcentral. Lineage: Bacteria; Bacillati; Actinomycetota; Actinomycetes; Kitasatosporales; Streptomycetaceae.